AUCAGUGGGGAUCUUGUUAAAAUGCAGGGUCUAACUUGGUAGAUUCUGCAUUUCUAACAAGCUCCCAGGUGAUGCCAA
Molecule: microRNA precursor, 78 nt
Filed under: Equus asinus (donkey)
Lineage: Eukaryota; Metazoa; Chordata; Mammalia; Perissodactyla; Equidae
Also listed under: 1 other name
Description: mir-544 microRNA precursor family
Rfam family: mir-544 microRNA precursor family
Source: Rfam by way of RNAcentral